CUUAAAUUAUUAUUAUUAUAUCUUCCUAACAAACAAAGCAGCACACGGUAACAACAACAAAAACCCAGCUUAAAAAUCAAUGGAGAUUGAGACCCUCGUGGAAGACAAAAUUGUGACAACAGAAAGUAUUGUGGGAGGUGAAACUGGUGUUUGUGAAGUCGACACAAGCCAAGAACCAUAUGAAGGUAUGGUAUUUGAAUCGGAAAAUGCUGCCAGAGUUUUCUAUGAUGAAUAUGCUAAACAGGAAGGAUUUCUUACUCGUAUUGUAUCAUCCCGUAAGUCUGAGCAUGAUGGAACAAUUAUAUCUCGUCGACUUGCUUGUAAUAAAGAAGGAUUUAAUCUCAGCAGCCAAAAGACAGGGCAAGUUAAAAUUAGAAAAAGAGAAAGCAAACGGGAGGGUUGUAUGGCAAUGAUAUUGGUGAAGAGAGAAAAGCUAGGGAAAUGGGUGGUGACAAAGUUUACGAGGGAGCAUAAUCAUCCACUAGUAAUAUCAUCAAAAAAAGUCGACUAACUAUCUAGGUGGUGGUACAGUGGUAAUAACUUGGGACCAAGAGGUUUGCUCCCUCUGUGGUCUCAGGUUCGAGCCAUGUGGUUGCUCAUAUGAUGAUCACUGGAGGUUUAUAUGGUCAUUAACUUCAGGGCCCGUGAAAUUAGUCGAGAUGCGCGCAAGCUGGCCCGGACACCCACGUUAAACUAAAAAAAAAAAAAAAGUUCGACCAACAACUGAUGAAAAGGAUGAGAGAAUUCGAGAGCUAUCCUCCCAGUUGCAUCAUACGAACCGACAGUUAGCAGCAUGCCGAGAACAGCUGCAAACAUUUUUGACUUACAUUGAGGAACACACUAUGUGCAUGUUAAGAACACUCGAAGGUGUUGUUCAAAACAUUAGAGAAGUUGAAUCUGAAACCAGAAGCUGCUCCUAGGUUAGUCAUAAGACCUGGCAUUACGUUGUAAAUCUUGUACAAAUUUCAACUCUUGUUAGUAGGUGAAAGUUCAUCAAAAUUCCUUCCAGUUGUAUAAUCCUGUUGCAAAUUGUUUCGAGGCCUUGUAAUCAUCUGCUUGACCUAAUCUCAGUUUUGUAAGUAAACUAAUGAUAUUUCAUGUAUGAUAUUUG
Long non-coding RNA from Populus trichocarpa (black cottonwood), 1111 nucleotides. RefSeq lists it as uncharacterized. The transcript is spliced from 3 exons. NCBI's taxonomy places the organism in Eukaryota, Viridiplantae, Streptophyta, Magnoliopsida, Malpighiales, Salicaceae. The record is from RefSeq and is a predicted model, not a curated record.